AUUCAGCUGACGAGUCCCGAAUAGGACGAAACGCGUGCCAAACUGGAU
This is a non-coding RNA of Schistosoma rodhaini, 48 nucleotides long. NCBI's taxonomy places the organism in Eukaryota, Metazoa, Platyhelminthes, Trematoda, Strigeidida, Schistosomatidae. The record is from Rfam.